Molecule: transfer RNA, 64 nt
Filed under: uncultured Isochrysis
Lineage: Eukaryota; Haptophyta; Isochrysidales
Source: RNAcentral
GCAGGAAAGAGGGCCCAAUUGGGAGGGAGAGAGAUGUAGAAAGCGAAUGAGUGAAAGGAGAGGG